This 722-nucleotide ribosomal RNA is filed under the name Salmonella enterica. RNAcentral's name for it is "partial 23S ribosomal RNA". It matches the Rfam family "Bacterial large subunit ribosomal RNA", at positions 2202 to 2925 of the family's 2925-position model. Lineage: Bacteria; Pseudomonadati; Pseudomonadota; Gammaproteobacteria; Enterobacterales; Enterobacteriaceae. The record is from RNAcentral.
ACCCUUUAAUGUUUGAUGUUCUAACGUGGACCCGUGAUCCGGGUUGCGGACAGUGUCUGGUGGGUAGUUUGACUGGGGCGGUCUCCUCCUAAAGAGUAACGGAGGAGCACGAAGGUUGGCUAAUCCUGGUCGGACAUCAGGAGGUUAGUGCAAUGGCAUAAGCCAGCUUGACUGCGAGCGUGACGGCGCGAGCAGGUGCGAAAGCAGGUCAUAGUGAUCCGGUGGUUCUGAAUGGAAGGGCCAUCGCUCAACGGAUAAAAGGUACUCCGGGGAUAACAGGCUGAUACCGCCCAAGAGUUCAUAUCGACGGCGGUGUUUGGCACCUCGAUGUCGGCUCAUCACAUCCUGGGGCUGAAGUAGGUCCCAAGGGUAUGGCUGUUCGCCAUUUAAAGUGGUACGCGAGCUGGGUUUAGAACGUCGUGAGACAGUUCGGUCCCUAUCUGCCGUGGGCGCUGGAGAACUGAGGGGGGCUGCUCCUAGUACGAGAGGACCGGAGUGGACGCAUCACUGGUGUUCGGGUUGUCAUGCCAAUGGCACUGCCCGGUAGCUAAAUGCGGAAGAGAUAAGUGCUGAAAGCAUCUAAGCACGAAACUUGCCCCGAGAUGAGUUCUCCCUGAGACUUAAAGUCUCCUGAAGGAACGUUGAAGACGACGACGUUGAUAGGCCGGGUGUGUAAGCGCAGCGAUGCGUUGAGCUAACCGGUACUAAUGAACCGUGAGGCU